GAGGGUGUAGUUUAGAGAUAGAGCACAUACUUGGCGUGCAUGAGGUCCUGGGUUCAAUCCCCACUGCCUCA
RNAcentral lists this transfer RNA (71 nucleotides) under Camelus bactrianus (Bactrian camel). It matches the Rfam family "tRNA". From Rfam's summary of the family: Transfer RNA (tRNA) molecules are approximately 80 nucleotides in length. Their secondary structure includes four short double-helical elements and three loops (D, anti-codon, and T loops). The record is from Rfam by way of RNAcentral. Lineage: Eukaryota; Metazoa; Chordata; Mammalia; Artiodactyla; Camelidae. RNAcentral also lists the same sequence under 2 other names.